This 240-nucleotide unclassified non-coding RNA is filed under the name soil metagenome. Its description in RNAcentral is "partial contains 5.8S ribosomal RNA, internal transcribed spacer 2, and large subunit ribosomal RNA". The record is from RNAcentral.
AAGACUAUAGACCUGCGGAGUACCUGCGGAAGGAUCAUUAACGUAUCUAUGAUGGGGUGCGGAGCGCCCUGCUCCGGUCGAACGGCCGUGCAGCGGGUGCGCCGCCCCCGUCCCACCUCACAAACCCACUGUGAACAUUCACCGGUGGAGGGGGCUCGGUCUGCGCCGUGUCCCCGAUGCCGAAUACCCAAACUCCAGUUGCAAAGAACGUCGUACGGACUCGGUGCCGCCUAAAACAUG